Molecule: ribosomal RNA, 458 nt
Filed under: uncultured bacterium
Lineage: Bacteria
Description: partial 16S ribosomal RNA
Rfam family: Bacterial small subunit ribosomal RNA
Source: RNAcentral
CCUACGGGUGGCAGCAGUGAGGAAUAUUGGUCAAUGGGCGAGAGCCUGAACCAGCCAAGUCGCGUGAGGGAGUACUGCCCUAUGGGUUGUAAACCUCUUUUGUCGGGGAGCAAAAGCCGGACGUGUCCGGCUGUGAGAGUACCCGAAGAAAAAGCAUCGGCUAACUCCGUGCCAGCAGCCGCGGUAAUACGGAGGAUGCGGGCGUUAUCCGGAUUUAUUGGGUUUAAAGGGUGCGCAGGCGGAUUGUUAAGUCAGCGGUCAAAGCGUGGGGCUCAACCCCAUCCAGCCGUUGAAACUGGGGGUCUAGAGUGGGCGAGAGGUAUGCGGAAUGCGGGGUGUAGCGGUGAAAUGCAUAGAUAUCACGCAGAACCCCGAUUGCGAAGGCAGCAUACCGGUGCACAACUGACGCUCAGGCACGAAAGCGUGGGUAUCGAACAGGAUUAGAUACCCCUGUAGUC